GACGAACGCUGGCGGCGUGCUUAACACAUGCAAGUCGAACGGAAAGGCCCUGCUUGCAGGGUACUCGAGUGGCGAACGGGUGAGUAACACGUGGGUGAUCUGCCCUGCACUUCGGGAUAAGCCUGGGAAACUGGGUCUAAUACCGGAUAGGAGCCAUUUUUAGUGUGAUGGUUGGAAAGUUUUUUCGGUGUAGGAUGAGCUCGCGGCCUAUCAGCUUGUUGGUGGGGUAAUGGCCUACCAAGGCGGCGACGGGUAGCCGGCCUGAGAGGGUGGACGGCCACAUUGGGACUGAGAUAAGGCCCAGACUCCUACUGGAGGCAGCAGUGGGGAAGAUUGCACAAUGGGCGCGAGCCUGAUGCAGAGACGCCGCGUGGGGGAUGACGGUCUUCGGGUUGUAAACUCCUUUCGCUAGGGACGAAGCUUUUUGUGACGGUACCUAGAUAAGAAGCACCGGCUAACUACGUG
This 465-nucleotide ribosomal RNA is filed under the name uncultured bacterium. Its description in RNAcentral is "partial 16S ribosomal RNA". It matches the Rfam family "Bacterial small subunit ribosomal RNA", at positions 28 to 507 of the family's 1533-position model. The record is from RNAcentral.